GGUUCGAUGAUUUUUGCAGUGGAUUCGGUAAUGGUUUGUUGAUGAAGAUCGAAGCGUGAAUUGAAUGGUUGAAGUUUGUUACUGGUUUUUUGCGUGUUGAUUUCUGAUUCUUUACAGGUUUUCUGUUAUGUAUCGUGAGAGAGAAAUUGAAGAUGAUGAUUGGAGGUAGAAGUGGAAGGUCCGAAAGUUGAAGAGUGUUGAAGAGAGAAUUGAUGGAUCCUGUUAUGGUUCAGUUACAGGCGCGAGUCUGAAUGUAAAGUGGAUGUGUGAACGCCAAUCUAUGAUAACUUGACCGUCAUGCUGCACUCGGAAUUAGAAUGGACCGAAUGGCUUUGUGCUAUGGUGCUGAACAUUUUAUUUGACUGUAUGCUAAACUGAUGAUAUGAUUAUUUUGUAGUACAGUAAUGUGUUGUAUGGUAAGUGUCUGAACUGUUGUGGUCUGAUUGUAUUUUCUCUGGUUUUUGUAGGUUCAGUUCUCAUGAGGUUGAAUGCUGAACUGGUUUUAUUCUAGAGCUGCGGGGUGUUUGGGCAUGGAUUGUAAUUUGAUGGGGCCAUAUGUCGCAGAGUGAUAUGUAUGUGUGUAUGCUGCAGGGGUGACCUCAAACAAAUGUAUGAUGGAGCAAGGGCUGCGGUUGAUACUCGGUGAAGUUGGGCUGAAUGUUUAACUUGGAGUAUUGCACUGCAUUUGCAAUGUACAGGUAGCCCGUGUAGGUAUACGAUGGCAAGGGGACAUAUUAUGAAGGCGCUCGUUGGCGGAGAUGAAUCACCAUAAUGAGGGAAUCUGAAUUCUCACGAUUGGAGGAUGGCCAAAAGGAAAUGAGGAUAGGAUGGAGCAUGGUAACCUGACAUUGCAAAUUGGAUGGAGCAUGGGCAUGAGGAGCAAAGGUGAUGGGAAGUGAUGUAGUUGAAGACUUAGAGACAGUAGGCUUUUAGGACAUUUGUUGGCUUUGAAUGUAAAUUUUUGUAGUUUC
This is a long non-coding RNA of Vicia villosa (hairy vetch), 971 nucleotides long. RefSeq lists it as uncharacterized. The transcript has 4 exons. NCBI's taxonomy places the organism in Eukaryota, Viridiplantae, Streptophyta, Magnoliopsida, Fabales, Fabaceae. The record is from RefSeq and is a predicted model, not a curated record.